GUGCCAGCCGCCGCGGUAAUACGGAGGGUGCGAGCGUUAUCCGGAAUUAUUGGGUUUAAAGGGUGCGUAGGCGGAAAUUUAAGUCAGUGGUGAAAGCCUACAGCUUAACUGUAGAAUUGCCAUUGAAACUGAAUUUCUUGAAUCUAAUUGAAGUAGGCGGAAUAUGACAUGUAGCGGUGAAAUGCUUAGAUAUGUCAUAGAACACCGAUAGCGAAGGCAGCUUACUAAGUUAGUAUUGACGCUAAUGCACGAAAGCGUGGGGAGCGAACAGGAUUAGAUACCCCUGUAGUCCA
This 293-nucleotide ribosomal RNA is filed under the name uncultured bacterium. RNAcentral's name for it is "partial 16S ribosomal RNA". It matches the Rfam family "Bacterial small subunit ribosomal RNA", at positions 505 to 797 of the family's 1533-position model. The record is from RNAcentral.